RNAcentral lists this unclassified non-coding RNA (380 nucleotides) under soil metagenome. Its description in RNAcentral is "partial contains 5.8S ribosomal RNA, internal transcribed spacer 2, and large subunit ribosomal RNA". The stretch from base 1 to 120 matches the Rfam family "5.8S ribosomal RNA", at positions 35 to 154 of the family's 154-position model. The record is from RNAcentral.
GAUGAAUAACGUAGCGAAAUGCGAUAAGUAAUGUGAAUUGCAGAAUUCAGUGAAUCAUCGAAUCUUUGAACGCACCUUGCACCCUUUGGCAUUCUGAAGGGUAUGCUCGUUUGAGUGUCAUUGUACUCUCACACUCCCGAUCUUUGCAUUGGGAGCAGUGGACUUGGGUUUGCUGCUUCACCGUCGCUUACCUCAAAUAGGUUAGUGCAACUCUUGGUUGGACAUAGUACGGCGUGAUAAGUGUUCUUCGCCGGUGCCUCGCAAAGAGGGUGGCCGAUCGGGAUGUUGUGCUCCAAACCGUCUUCGGACAAUCUCUGACGACUUGACCUCAAAUCGAGUAAGACUACCCGCUGAACUUAAGCAUAUCAAUAAGCGGAGGA